RNAcentral lists this ribosomal RNA (492 nucleotides) under uncultured Planctomycetota bacterium. Its description in RNAcentral is "bacterial SSU rRNA". It matches the Rfam family "Bacterial small subunit ribosomal RNA", at positions 64 to 507 of the family's 1533-position model. The record is from RNAcentral. Lineage: Bacteria; Pseudomonadati; Planctomycetota.
GAACGAGGGAGCAUUCCGAAAGGGGUGCAAACCGAGUGGCGUAAGGGUGAGUAAUGCAUUGAUAACCUACCUUCGAGAUGAGAAUAACAACGUUCCAAGCAAUUGGGGCUACCGAAAGGGUUGCUAAUACUCAAUGAAACUAUUAUUGCUUUGGUGGUGAUAGUCAAAUAGGCGGAAUCGAAAGAUUCCACUUGCUUGAGGAGGGGUCAAUGUCCUAUCAGCUAGUUGGCAGGGUAAUGGCCUACCAAGGCGAAGACGGGUAGCCGGCCUGAGAGGGUGGUCGGCCACACUGGGACUGAGACACUGCCCAGACUCCUACGGGAGGCUGCAGUCGAGAAUCUUUCGCAAUGCCCGAAAGGGUGACGAAGCGACGCCGCGUGCGGGAAGAAGGCCUUCGGGUUGUAAACCGCUGUCGGGAGUUAAGAAAUGCAUGGAUGUUAAUAGCGUACUUGCUUGACUAAGGCUCCGGAGGAAGCCACGGCUAACUCUGUG